RNAcentral lists this long non-coding RNA (992 nucleotides) under Musa acuminata (dwarf banana). RNAcentral describes it as "long non-coding RNA (MACU_LNC004070)". The record is from RNAcentral. Lineage: Eukaryota; Viridiplantae; Streptophyta; Magnoliopsida; Zingiberales; Musaceae.
CCUUUUCGAGUUCUGACCAUUCAUGUCACCAAGAAACAACCUUCUCAUUGUAUCAAGACUUGUUCUAAUAGAUCACAGAAAAGAAAAGAAAAAAAAAAGAGGAGAGAAUUCCAAGUAUGUGCGCAAAGAUAUUUAUGCUGCCACUAAUGAUGCUUUGUUGGUGAUCUCAAGAUCAAAAUCAAAAGCAGAUGUUGGCUAUUUUGAUGUUAUAAGCACAAGAAAUAUCCAGUAAAGAUCACCUGAUCGUUGAGUGGGUCUCUUUAGAUGUAGAUGCACACUCCUGCCAGGCACUGCUGCUUAUCAGGUGUUUGUAGCUGUCUAUUUUACCGGCUUCUUUCACCAAACAGGCAGACAGAUGUAAGAAGACCUCUCUUGUAGGCUUGCGUGUGGUAGAUUCUUUCUCUAGGAUCCUGAGCUUGAGCUUUACUUGUCGACUUGGCAAACUGGAAGGAUCAACAUCACAUCAGAGUGGGGGGUCACUGCCAUUGUCACAAUCUGCAACUGCAUCUUGCAUCAACCCCCCACAAGGAUUUUGGAAUUUGCCUCUGGAAUCUGAACAGCACCACAUGUGGGUGUGUGAAUUCUGAGCCGGAAAAGACAUCUUGUCCUAAACUUUUUGUUCAGCUGAUGCAAAUAGAUCACGGUGGCAACUUCAUCACUUUUUUAUUUUCAGAAAAGAAAAAGGUAGUCAGAGCAUGCAUGCCUAAACUCAUGCUUGGAUGGUGUGCACAUGUGUGAUUCAUCAGUAAGCUAAGCAUGUCGAUCAAGAUAACAUAGCAGCAUCAGUUCAGUAAAGCUGUGUUGUACGGUCUUGUCUGCCAUUUGACAUGUGAGCUGAUACAUACCUCUGCAACCUCGAUGCAGUGAACCAAGGAUUAGCGACGUUGGCAUUCUUCGGGGUUGGCGUGAACUUGGUCUUGUUCCUGACGAGAGUCCUGCAGCAGAACAACGCUGAUGCAGCAAACAAUGUCAGCAAGUGGACAGGCACUGUG